UAGGGAAUUUUCCGCAAUGGGCGAAAGCCUGACGGAGCAAUGCCGCGUGGAGGUGGAAGGCCUACGGGUCGCCAACUUCUUUUCUCGGAGAAGAAACAAUGACGGUAUCUGAGGAAUAAGCAUCGGCUAACUCUGUGCCAG
This 141-nucleotide ribosomal RNA is filed under the name uncultured bacterium. RNAcentral describes it as "partial 16S rRNA". It matches the Rfam family "Bacterial small subunit ribosomal RNA", at positions 355 to 511 of the family's 1533-position model. The record is from RNAcentral.